CAAUUGAUAUCUUAAAAUAAAGAAAUGAUCUUUUAAAUCAUCUAUAGUAACAUUAUUACUUCAAUUGA
RNAcentral lists this transfer RNA (68 nucleotides) under Wiebesia pumilae. Its description in RNAcentral is "tRNA-Lys". Lineage: Eukaryota; Metazoa; Arthropoda; Insecta; Hymenoptera; Agaonidae. The record is from RNAcentral.